GGCGCGGUGGCCUAGUGGCUAGCACACCUGCCCUGCACCAGGGGGAGUGGGGUUCGAAUCCUGCCCCUGCUCCG
Pangasianodon gigas (Mekong giant catfish) is the source of this 74-nucleotide non-coding RNA. NCBI's taxonomy places the organism in Eukaryota, Metazoa, Chordata, Actinopteri, Siluriformes, Pangasiidae. The record is from the annotation of a GenBank genome assembly.